UACGUAGGGCGCAAGCGUUGUCCGGAAUUACUGGGCGUAAAGAGAUCGUAGGCGGUUUGUCGCGUCUGCUGUGAAAACCUAAGGCUCAACCUUGGGCUUGCAGUGGGUACGGGCAGACUAGAGUGCGGGAGGGGUGACUGGAAUUCCUGGUGUAGCGGUGGAAUGCGCAGAUAUCAGGAGGAACACCGAUGGCGAAGGCAGGUCACUGGGCCGCAACUGACGCUGAGGAGCGAAAGCGUGGGGAGCGAACAGG
This 253-nucleotide ribosomal RNA is filed under the name uncultured bacterium. Its description in RNAcentral is "partial 16S ribosomal RNA". It matches the Rfam family "Bacterial small subunit ribosomal RNA", at positions 524 to 776 of the family's 1533-position model. The record is from RNAcentral.